AGAGUUUGAUCCUGGCUCAGGAUGAACGCUAGCUACAGGCUUAACACAUGCAAGUCGCGGGGCAGCAUGUCGGUUGCUUGCAACCGAUGAUGGCGACCGGCGCACGGGUGAGUAACGCGUAUCCAACCUGCCCUUCACCACGGAAUAAUCCAGUGAAAAUUGGUCUAAUACCGUAUGAGGUCAUACGAUGGCAUCAGAAUAUGACGAAAGGUUUAGCGGUGAAGGAUGGGGAUGCGUCUGAUUAGCUUGUUGGUGAGGUAACGGCUCACCAAGGCGACGAUCAGUAGGGGUUCUGAGAGGAAGGUCCCCCACAUUGGAACUGAGACACGGUCCAAACUCCUACGGGAGGCAGCAGUGAGGAAUAUUGGUCAAUGGGCGAGAGCCUGAACCAGCCAAGUAGCGUGCAGGACGACGGCCCUAUGGGUUGUAAACUGCUUUUAUAUGGGGAUAAAGUGAGCUACGUGUAGCUUAUUGCAGGUACCAUAUGAAUAAGGACCGGCUAAUUCCGUGCCAGCAGCCGCGGUAAUACGGAAGGUCCAGGCGUUAUCCGGAUUUAUUGGGUUUAAAGGGAGCGUAGGCCGCCCCUUAAGCGUGUUGUGAAAUGCCGCGGCUCAACCGUGGCACUGCAGCGCGAACUGGGGGGCUUGAGUGCACGCAACGCAGGCGGAAUUCGU
This 674-nucleotide ribosomal RNA is filed under the name uncultured bacterium. Its description in RNAcentral is "bacterial SSU rRNA". It matches the Rfam family "Bacterial small subunit ribosomal RNA", at positions 8 to 671 of the family's 1533-position model. The record is from RNAcentral.